Molecule: long non-coding RNA, 1070 nt
Organism: Drosophila ananassae
Lineage: Eukaryota; Metazoa; Arthropoda; Insecta; Diptera; Drosophilidae
Exons: 2
Source: RefSeq, a predicted model, not a curated record
AUCCCCCUGUUGUGCUCCAUUUCUCUGUUAUUAACAGAUUUGUAAUAACAUGUAAAGUAAAUAAUAACAUUUGGUUGUGAACUUGACUAAGAAGUUUUUACAAAGUUCUGUUAGAUGUUGCUUAGUUUAAGAAUAAAAGUAAUAUUUUUCAUUAUUAAAUUUUACUUUACCGUUUAAAAAGCUCAUUAAAGUGCUAGUAUUUAAUUUUUUUCUUAUUGAAGUCUGAAAAUAUUGCUGAGACUCUAGGCCCUAGUCAAUAAUAAAAAAUGUUGCUAAACAAUUGAAAUUGAAAAAAUAUAAAUUGAAAAAUUGUCACCUAAGGAGGCUUUGUAAAUAGAAACAUAAUUUACUAUAAAAGUGGAGCCCCAGGCAAAAAUUAUUCAGUCUACAAUAUUUAUCACACGGAACGGUAACAAAACUCCCAAAAAAAACCAGAGACAAAAUGGAAUAAACAAUUUUGUUUUAAAUUUCUAAAUUAAAAACUAAAAACUUUUAUUAAACUUUUGAUGUUGCUGCCUUUGAAUCAAAUUGAUGCUCUGCUUAGUGUACCACGAGAAGCCCAUUCCACAUGAAACCUAUCUGCUCUGGGCUGGCCAAUUUUUGGUGACAUCUUCCUGGUAAGGAGUUCUUCGCUUUAGAGUCGGCUCAUGGCUCUAAAGAAACUCUCGCUGAUCUGGGGGAGCGUCUGCGAGCGGCCCCAGGUGAGCUUCCAAUGUCAAUGCCUAUGAUGCGAAUAGACUGGCCAACGGAGUUCCAUGAUGCUGUAUUGAAAUACUAGUCGGACCAGAACAGAGUGAAUUCUAUAACUAAAGACCUUCAAUCCUGAGAUGAAAUGAUGAAUCAUUUGCGUGUACUUCCCAAGGAUAGUAUCCCUCUUCAGUUUAGAUGCUGUCUGGUUUCUGUACUAUACGUGUCUAAAAAUAUCAGAACAUUUCGAGAAGAUUUGGCAGUUCCUAAAGAUCUUCAAGAAGAACCCUAUUGCCCUGUAGCGCCUUCUGGCCAUGCGGAAAUUUUUCCUGUGGCUUUAGUUAUUUUGGAAUCAUUCUACAUAAAUAUAUGUUUAUAAUUUA